GCAAAAGCCCUAUUUAGGGCUACAAAAAAUUAUGUUGUCAAAUUCAU
Picea glauca (white spruce) is the source of this 47-nucleotide non-coding RNA. NCBI's taxonomy places the organism in Eukaryota, Viridiplantae, Streptophyta, Pinopsida, Pinales, Pinaceae. The record is from Rfam.